RNAcentral lists this transfer RNA (70 nucleotides) under Serrivomer sector (sawtooth eel). RNAcentral describes it as "tRNA-Phe". It matches the Rfam family "tRNA". Rfam says of the family: Transfer RNA (tRNA) molecules are approximately 80 nucleotides in length. Their secondary structure includes four short double-helical elements and three loops (D, anti-codon, and T loops). Further hydrogen bonds mediate the characteristic L-shaped molecular structure. tRNAs have two regions of fundamental functional importance: the anti-codon, which is responsible for specific mRNA codon recognition, and the 3' end, to which the tRNAs corresponding amino acid is attached (by aminoacyl-tRNA synthetases). tRNAs cope with the degeneracy of the genetic code in two manners: having more than one tRNA (with a specific anti-codon) for a particular amino acid; and 'wobble' base-pairing, i.e. permitting non-standard base-pairing at the 3rd anti-codon position. Lineage: Eukaryota; Metazoa; Chordata; Actinopteri; Anguilliformes; Serrivomeridae. The record is from RNAcentral.
GUCUACGUAGCUUAAAUCAAAGCGUAGCACUGAAGAUGCUAAGAUGAGGCCCCAUAGGCCUCCGAAGACA